CAAACAAGUCUACGACGAACUAAAGAUAGAUGAUGGUAUAUAAUUAAGCAGUUAAUAUUUAAUGGAUCAUCAACGUAUUAAGGUUCAAAGCAGUAUGCGAAUACUUGACCGAAUAUACGCGAUGAGAUCAACCAAAAGCAGCUCAGGAUGAAGACACACAAAUUGUGCAGAACUAUCCAUUUAACUCAAAAGCACCGACGGACAUUAUAAAUAUGUAGACAUAUUAUAAUGCAAUAGAUGAACCAGAAAAAAAUGAAAUCACAAUAGUUACUUACUCCAUUUAUUGAUUUAUUGAUUAUACUCGUACUGAUAUUAUAAAACUGACAAUGGUAAGAUGAAAAAACAUCCAAAUGUACUGUGAGGUGUCAUAGUGGCCAUCAAUUCUGAAAAAAAAAAUCAAAAUAUUUCUUAUGUAUCACAUUUAAGAAUGCAUUUAUAUGAUAUGUCACUGAUAUUGAACUUUUAUAAAAGGUUUGAGAUUUGUAUCGGAAGUCUUACAUAUAGCUCACAUGGUGCUCAAAUAUAGGAAUUAUUUGAAAGCAUUGCGUAUCUGAUACAAAAAGAUAUCUUAAGAUAUUAGGGUAUUUCAUAGCAAUCACACUAUUGAUAUACUUUGUCUAUGUUGAUACACUAGAUAAUUUUGUCGAAAAACAAAUGGAAUGAAAAACCAGUCGAUUACUUCUAUUUAUUUUUCAAAAAAAAAAAAAAAAAAAAAAAUUCAAUUAAAAAAUAUCUGUGAUAAGAUCAUGAAUAGCUGUGUAGACAUUUUUAUAUGCAAAACAAACAUACUUGAGUACAUUGUGUUCAAUAGAUUAUCUGAAUUAAAUACAUGCUAUAAUUUGA
Long non-coding RNA from Pecten maximus, 843 nucleotides. RefSeq lists it as uncharacterized. The record is from RefSeq and is a predicted model, not a curated record. NCBI's taxonomy places the organism in Eukaryota, Metazoa, Mollusca, Bivalvia, Pectinida, Pectinidae. The transcript is spliced from 2 exons.